GAUUCUACAGGCAAAAAUGGAAAAUAUUAUGUUAUGUGGAUUAAGACCAAACAUUUCUUUAAUAGCAUGGACACGAUUUCAGAGAAUUUCCUUGAAAAACUCCUGUGUUCCGAACUGAGAGGGGAAGGAGAAAAGUCAUUUGCUGCCUACUCAGCAGACCCCCCAAGAAGGAGACUAUAUAACACUAAUAGAAGUGUCUUCUUCUUCCUCGACUUUAUCAUCUUACUGUAUAUUUGGAACAUCCUCCACUUAAAGAUGAUUAUUGUGACUUUUACUUAAUAUACCUGUCGGAUAAACAACUCAGUAUUUUACCAAAGUCAAAAUGAGAGUUAUAUCAGAAAUCUGAAACCCAAAGCAUGAACAUAACUAACCUCUGCCAGGAGCGCUCUGGGACAGGCCUUGUAUAAACAGGGAAGCGUAAAGCCUGGCUCUGACGUUUCUCCUCCAGGAGUCUGAUAUUAAGCUCCUCUAAUCUCUCAUUUCUCCUGUGAAGACUGCAAAAGGCAAAUACAUACUCA
Molecule: long non-coding RNA, 518 nt
Organism: Sciurus carolinensis (gray squirrel)
Lineage: Eukaryota; Metazoa; Chordata; Mammalia; Rodentia; Sciuridae
Exons: 3
Source: RefSeq, a predicted model, not a curated record